This 543-nucleotide ribosomal RNA is filed under the name Caridina sumatrensis. Its description in RNAcentral is "partial 16S ribosomal RNA". It matches the Rfam family "Bacterial large subunit ribosomal RNA", at positions 1819 to 2623 of the family's 2925-position model. The record is from RNAcentral. Lineage: Eukaryota; Metazoa; Arthropoda; Malacostraca; Decapoda; Atyidae.
GUCUGUGCGAGUAAAAUUGAUGCACAGUCUGACCUGCCCACUGAAGUUUUUAAAGGGCCGCGGUAUUUGAACCGUGCUAAGGUAGCAUAAUAAAUAGUCUUUUAAUUGAGGUCUAGUAUGAAUGGUUGGACAUGAAGUAAGCUGUUUUAACUGCAAGGGUUGAACUUUACUUUUAAGUGAAAAGGCUUAAAUUCUAUGGUGGGACGAUAAGACCCUAUAAAGCUUUACGUGUUAUCUGUUUGUUAAAGAGUAUAUGGUUCUCUAUUCUUAUCAGUUAAAGACGUUUCGUUGGGGCGACGAAAAUAUAAAAUAGUAACUGUUUUUAUUGUUAAAAUAAAUUUUUUUAGGGGAGCUGAUCCUUCAUAGAGAUUAUAAGAAUUAAGUUACUUUAGGGAUAACAGCGUAAUUUUUCUUGAGAGUUCAUAUCGACAGAAGUAGUUGCGACCUCGAUGUUGAAUUAAGAUACCCCUUAGGUGUAGGAGUUUUGGUGGUAGGUCUGUUCGACCUUUAAAAUCUUACAUGAUUUGAGUUCAGACCGGCGUG